Molecule: ribosomal RNA, 1539 nt
Filed under: Burkholderia sp.
Lineage: Bacteria; Pseudomonadati; Pseudomonadota; Betaproteobacteria; Burkholderiales; Burkholderiaceae
Description: partial 16S ribosomal RNA
Rfam family: Bacterial small subunit ribosomal RNA
Source: RNAcentral
GGGCUUUAGCGCAGCGUUCCAUGCAGUCGAACGGCAGCACGGGUGCUUGCACCUGGUGGCGAGUGGCGAACGGGUGAGUAAUACAUCGGAACAUGUCCUGUAGUGGGGGAUAGCCCGGCGAAAGCCGGAUUAAUACCGCAUACGAUCUACGGAUGAAAGCGGGGGACCUUCGGGCCUCGCGCUAUAGGGUUGGCCGAUGGCUGAUUAGCUAGUUGGUGGGGUAAAGGCCUACCCAAGGCGGGAACGAUCCAGUAGCUUGGUCUGGAAGAGGAACGACCCAAGCCAACACUGGGGGACUGGAGACACCGGCCCCCAGACUUCCUUACGGGGAGGCCAGCCAGUGGGGGAAUUUUUGGACCAAUGGGGCGAAAAGCCCUGAUCCCAGCCAAUGCCCGCGUGUGUGAAAGAAGGCCUUUCGGGUUGUAAAGCACUUUUGUCCGGAAAGAAAUCCUUGGGCUCUAAUACAGUCGGGGGGAUGACGGUACCGGAAGAAUAAGCACCCGGCUAACUACGUGCCAGCAGCCGCGGUAAUACGUAGGGUGCAAGCGUUAAUCGGAAUUACUGGGCGUAAAGCGUGCGCAGGCGGUUUGCUAAGACCGAUGUGAAAUCCCCGGGCUCAACCUGGGAACUGCAUUGGUGACUGGCAGGCUAGAGUAUGGCAGAGGGGGGUAGAAUUCCACGUGUAGCAGUGAAAUGCGUAGAGAUGUGGAGGAAUACCGAUGGCGAAGGCAGCCCCCUGGGCCAAUACUGACGCUCAUGCACGAAAGCGUGGGGAGCAAACAGGAUUAGAUACCCUGGUAGUCCACGCCCUAAACGAUGUCAACUAGUUGUUGGGGAUUCAUUUCCUUAGUAACGUAGCUAACGCGUGAAGUUGACCGCCUGGGGGAGUACGGUCGCAAGAUUAAAACUCAAAGGAAUUGACGGGGGACCCGCACAAGCGGUGGAUGAUGUGGAUUAAUUCGAUGCAACGCGAAAAACCUUACCUACCCUUGACAUGGUCGGAAUCCCGCUGAGAAGGUGGGAGUGCUCGAAAGAGAACCGGGCGCACAGGUGCUGCUGGGCUGUCGUCCAGCUCGUGUCCUGGAGAUGUUGGGGUUAAGUCCCCGCAACGAACCGCAACCCUUUGUCCCUUAAGUUGCUACCCCAAGAAGCACUCCUAAGGGAAACUGGCCGGGUGACAAACCCGGAGGAAAGGUGGGGGGAUGAACGUCCAAGUCCCUCAUGGGCCCCUUUAUGGGGUAGGGGGUUUUCCACCCGUCCUUACAAAUGGUGUCGGGAAACAAAAGGGGUUGGCCAACCCCCCCCAGGGGGGGAGGUUAAUUCCCCCAAAAAAACGGAAUUGUUAUUUCCCGGGUAUUGGCCUCUCUCGCCAACUCCCGUGCAAGGGGCGUGAAAAACCUGUAAUCGCGGAUCAGCAUGCCGCGGUGAAUACGUUCCCGGGUCUUGUACACACCGCCCGUCACACCAUGGGAGUGGGUUUUACCAGAAGUGGCUAGUCUAACCGCAAGGAGGACGGUCACCACUAUAGAUUCAGACUUU